GCCCGCCUAGCUCAAUCGGAUAGAGCGUCAGACUUUUAGGGCAUCUGAAGGCUGCGAGUUCGAUCCUCGCGGUGGGCU
Coprinopsis cinerea okayama7#130 is the source of this 78-nucleotide transfer RNA. It matches the Rfam family "tRNA". From Rfam's summary of the family: Transfer RNA (tRNA) molecules are approximately 80 nucleotides in length. Their secondary structure includes four short double-helical elements and three loops (D, anti-codon, and T loops). NCBI's taxonomy places the organism in Eukaryota, Fungi, Basidiomycota, Agaricomycetes, Agaricales, Psathyrellaceae. The record is from Rfam.